AAGAAGAUGACGGUUUUCCACUUCUUCAACUGUGCAAUCCUUACAUUCGGACCUCAUGCUGUCUAUUACUCAGCAACCCCUUUGUCUGAGUAUGACACACUGUGGACUUCAAUAAAAUCUGCGGUUGUUUACCUUUUUACCGCACUAGUUAAGCUAGUUUGUCUAGCAACAUUUCUUAAUGUAUCUGAAAGUGAAAGCGACAAUUUUG
This 208-nucleotide unclassified non-coding RNA is filed under the name Hevea brasiliensis (rubber tree). The record is from RNAcentral. Lineage: Eukaryota; Viridiplantae; Streptophyta; Magnoliopsida; Malpighiales; Euphorbiaceae.